UCCGGUUUGACACCGGCAGUCUCGUUAGAGUCCUCGCCAUAACGCGUUAGUAACUAACGACAAGGGUUGCGCUCGUUAAGGGACUUAACCCGACGCUUCACAGCACGAGCUGACGACAGCCAUGCAGCACCUGUGCACGUUCCACUCUUGCGAGUGUCACCCCUGUUUCCAGGGGCUAAUCCGUACAUGUCAAACCCAGGUAAGGUUCUGCGCGUUGCUUCGAAUUGAGCCACAUGCUCCACCGCUUGUGUGAGCCCCCGUCAAUUUCUUUGAGUUUUAAUCUUGCGACCGUACUUCCCAGGCGGUGUGCUUAGCAAUUUCUCUGCGAUCCCGACGACGUCAGAGCCGCCGUGAUCCAGCACACAUCGUUUAGGGCGUGGACUAC
Molecule: unclassified non-coding RNA, 385 nt
Filed under: uncultured Phycisphaeraceae bacterium
Lineage: Bacteria; Pseudomonadati; Planctomycetota; Phycisphaerae; Phycisphaerales; Phycisphaeraceae
Description: contains 16S-23S intergenic spacer region
Source: RNAcentral